This is a non-coding RNA of Nothobranchius furzeri (turquoise killifish), 1480 nucleotides long. The record is from RefSeq and is a predicted model, not a curated record. NCBI's taxonomy places the organism in Eukaryota, Metazoa, Chordata, Actinopteri, Cyprinodontiformes, Nothobranchiidae.
UCUCUGCCGAGCGGUGGAGGCGGUGUGCUGUUUUUCAAUUGCCCAAACAGGACGAGACCAGCUGUCCAAUUGCUGACAAGAAUAUCAAAGGGUAGGAAUAGGAAUGUAUCCAAUCAGCGUCGACGUUGUUUCAGAACGUUUCAGAAGCAUGAUGGGCGAUGGAGCUACCGCCAAAGGUUUCGUUGGUGUUCGGUAGAACUCGGCAGAGUCGUUUUUGGUCGUGACGCAGAUGUAACAUGGACGCCGCCGGUGACUACAACCAGCAUGGAUACCGGAUCUCAGCAGCCACUGAAUUCAGUUCGGUCUCUUCUCCAGUAUACGUUCGAGAGGAGAAAUAUGGUGGGAAAACUUAAUGUCAAAGAGCUUGGACCAGAUCAGCCCGACGUAAAGAUAAGCCAGCAGGAGAAGGAGAGAGAUAAGGCAUGGAUGAGUCAGGAGUUACAGACAUGAAACAUUUUUCUAAGAAGGUGAAGAAACACGAGUCAUCCCGGCCACACAUGGACAACAACACGGUGAAGCUAGCCAUGCUAGGCAGAGCUAACGUUGCCAUGCAGGGAACAACAGCAGCUGGGUGCAGAGAGGAUUAAGACUUUCCUUGAGGAACACCAUGACACAGGAUGGGCUGAAUGCUCUUGCCAUGCUCUCCAUGGGAAAAGCUUGUCACUAACAUUCCUGACUUCAAUAAAAAGCUCAUCGAGAGCUUUGCCAUUCAGAAGGACAGAAGGGCAAAAUUUCUGUACAAAUGAGGUAUCACACACUCACACACACACACACACACACACACACACACACACACACACACACACACACACACACACACACAAAUGCAUCCUCUUGAUCUUUGUAUAAAGUUGACCUUGGCACAACACUCCAGAAAUAUUUAACAGUGUAAAUUUCUGGCAUUUUGUCUAAGUGGUGUUUCAUUACUGUAACAGUGACCUGCUCAUAAUUUUUCGUGUUCACUCAAAUGUUGAAAUUAAACAAAAUGUUUUUGUUACUUGCCUCUUGCAUUGCCUAUUUACCAUUUAUGGUCAUGUUAUUUUAUGUGCAAUUUAAUGCAGUAUUUUUCAACCUUGGUCUGCAAGGCAGCGUGCCAAUAGUCAGACACACCUGGAUUAAUCAGUUUGUCCAAUGAUGUAAGACAGGAAAUAAAAGAGCUGUGCUUAAUUCAGGAAAUAGUGAAGUUGUGCACAAAGCUCAGAAAGCACAAGUUAGUUUAAAAAUAAAAAAUAGCACAGCCCCACCAAAAAUAUUUUUCACCAGCCGCCACUGCUCAAAAUGAUAUAAAAUAAACCAAAUGUAUAGUUUUUUAUGUUAAAACACAUUUAUAAACCCACCACUAGUUGAGUUUCUGUUCUUUUUUAAGUUGUCUAUCACUUUAAGCACAGACAGUAACAUAUAGAAGCCCAUUUAAUGUCCAAACAGAACAAAAUAACUUUAUCCUAAUAAUUCAUAAUUAGCUUCAGCCACAUUACCUGUU